GUCCACGCCGUAAACGAUGAUAACUAGCUGUCCGGGCACUUGGUGCCUGGGUGGCGCAGCUAACGCAUUAAGUUAUCCGCAUGGGGAGUACGGUAGCAAGAUUAAAACUCAAAGGAAUUGACGGGGGCCUGCACAAGCGGUGGAGCAUGUGGUUUAAUUCGAAGCAACGCGCAGAACCUUACCAGCGUUUGACAUCCCGCGCUAUCCAGAGAGAUUUGGAGUUCCCUUAGGGGACGCGGUGACAGGUGCUGCAUGGCUGUCGU
This 263-nucleotide ribosomal RNA is filed under the name uncultured bacterium. RNAcentral describes it as "partial 16S ribosomal RNA". It matches the Rfam family "Bacterial small subunit ribosomal RNA", at positions 793 to 1055 of the family's 1533-position model. The record is from RNAcentral.